CAGCGGCAUCUGCGUGUCGUUGCGGGUGUGUCUCUGUGCAAGUUGUUCCUGACCCUGCUCUUCACGCGAGUGUCUCCUGUGUGCCAACGGGGCAAAGCAGAAUCAAAGGCAAUCGAAAGCCAAGGCGCACAGCCCCCCCCCCCCCCCCCCCCCCCAUCAUCUAGCGUCGUCAUCAUCUUUUCCCUCUCGUACCACCUGUGGCUCACGCUGGCCCUCCUUAUCAUCUUUUCGUGUAUCUGCCCACGCCCCCUCUGCUUACCCAGAGGCCUCCAAAGAUGGGCGGCAGGAUUUCGCGCGAGCAGAUGAAUGAUUACCGGGAGGUUGUGAAAGAUCGCAUCUCCGAGGAAGCCAUCGGCUUUCUGCACACCCGCUUCAUGAAGGCCGCCCCAUCGGGGGUCAUGACCCCGCUCCUCUUUAAGCAGUACAUCGAGAGCGUCGGCAUGUUCAAGAAUCGUAGAAUCCUUCAAGAGCAACGCAGGUGGCAGCAGCGCAGCAUCUUCGACAAGUUAUGGGCCAGCCGCUACAAAGGGGAAAGGCAGCAGCCGGCUGCCGGGUCCAACGGGGACGCCAACAGAGACGCUGCAGAGGAGGAUGGCAUUGAUUACUACGAUCACCUCUUUCGUGGGUACGACAUCAACAACGAAGGGGUGAUCACCUUCAAGAAGUUUCUGAUGUACCACGUAGCAGUCGUGUACAGCACCGAAGAUUUGUUUUACGUAGUUUUCAACGCCUACGACGACGACGGCGACGGCUUCCUGUCACUGACGGACAUCAAGGCUGUCAUCACGGCAGCAACGCGCUACGUAGGUGACUACGACGUCAACGACCGCGAGGUGCGCCGCGUGAUUGAUGAGGAGGCGCGUCGGCUCAUGGGCUUUCUGGACAUUCGCAAGCAGGGAUACAUACAGAUGGAGGACAUGCGACUCAUCACGCAGAAGUACCCGCAAGUGUUGGAGAAGAUGAAGAAUUUGAUGUGAAGAAGUCAGAGGAGGAGGAUGUAGCGCGAGGAGUAGCGCUGCUCGUGGAGGCGUCUUCGUUGCCUUUUUUCUCUACUCCUUCUCCUCUCUCUUUCUCGUGCCUUUCCUUCUUCCUUGAUGAAGGACGUGUACGAUCGAUUUUUUUUUUUCCUUCGGCGUUUGCCUGCUCCGUUACCACACACACGCACACACACAAACUCCCCCCUCUCUCUCCGCGCGCGUGCGUGCCUGUUGCACGUACCCGCUUGAUCUCACUCUUUCCGUUCUUUCCUUUUUCUUCUUUCACGUCUUGCCUUGCCGGCGCCAUGAUCCUGUCGUUUUUUCUUCUUGACUUUUAUGUCUGUGCUUCAGAAGGAGCGUUGGCCCUCCGCUGUCUUGGUGGGUGCGGUCUUGCCUGCUGCCAUCUUUUCCGCGUGUAGCUCGGUGCUUGCGCGGAUCUGCACACGAGCUCUGAAGGGAAGCGCGUCACUGAUGCCCAUCGAUUGGUGCUCUCCCGCGUCGCUUUCUUUGUUGUACGCGCGUCUCUCUCUCAUCGUUACCCUUCAUCACUCGUGCUGCGCGUGGUGUUUAGAUCAUUGCUGUCAUUGCACAGGUUUUUUUUUUCGCGAGGAGCACACGUGCGUGCAAGCGAAAAGGACAGCGCGCCGCUGUAUCUCUCUCUCUCUCUCUCUGUGCGUCUCUUGAGCCGCAGCAGAUGACCCACAGCGUGUAACCCCUUUCGCUGCAGCUGAGGACGCUGUCGCUCCAUAUGCAGACAGAGAGGAGGGAACACUCGAAGAACGAGCGAAGGCAACUGAGCACACGGACGAGGACGGCUCAAGGUCUUGGAAGAGCCCCACGCCCUCUGCUGUACACGGUGCAGCUGCUCUCUCCCUAUGACGAGAGACCAAGUGAGCAGAUGGCGGCCUGCGCGUAUGUGUGCGUCUUUCUCUUUUCAUGUGGGCUUCAGUCUCUUGCCAGUGAUCGGUGCCACACUAC
Molecule: unclassified non-coding RNA, 1955 nt
Filed under: Leishmania donovani
Lineage: Eukaryota; Euglenozoa; Kinetoplastea; Trypanosomatida; Trypanosomatidae
Description: gene:LdHU3.18.1810(CDS-product:EF-hand_domain/EF-hand_domain_pair_putative)
Source: RNAcentral